This 492-nucleotide ribosomal RNA is filed under the name uncultured bacterium. Its description in RNAcentral is "partial 16S ribosomal RNA". It matches the Rfam family "Bacterial small subunit ribosomal RNA", at positions 29 to 507 of the family's 1533-position model. The record is from RNAcentral.
AGUGAACGCUGGCGGUAGGCCUAACACAUGCCAGUCGAACGGCAGCACAGUAAGAGCUUGCUCUUACGGGUGGCGAGUGGCGGACGGGUGAGGAAUACAUCGGAAUCUACUUUUUCGUGGGGGAUAACGUAGGGAAACUUACGCUAAUACCGCAUACGACCUACGGGUGAAAGCAGGGGAUCUUCGGACCUUGCGCGAUUGAAUGAGCCGAUGUCGGAUUAGCUAGUUGGCGGGGUAAAGGCCCACCAAGGCGACGAUCCGUAGCUGGUCUGAGAGGAUGGUCAGCCACACUGGAAGUGAGACACGGUCCAGACUCCUGAGAGAGGCAGCAGUGGGGAAUAUUAGACAAUGGGCGCAAGCCUGAUCCAGCCAUACCGCGUGGGUGAAGAAGGCCUUCGGGUUGUAAAGCCCUUUUGUUGGGAAAGAAAAGCAGCAGGUUAAUACCCCGCUGUUCUGACGGUACCCAAAGAAUAAGCACCGGCUAACUUCGUG